RNAcentral lists this ribosomal RNA (382 nucleotides) under Fucus evanescens. Its description in RNAcentral is "SSU rRNA". It matches the Rfam family "Eukaryotic small subunit ribosomal RNA", at positions 38 to 417 of the family's 1831-position model. Lineage: Eukaryota; Phaeophyceae; Fucales; Fucaceae. The record is from RNAcentral.
CAAAGAUUAAGCCAUGCAUGUCUAAGUAUAAGCGAUUUAUACGGUGAAACUGCGAAUGGCUCAUUAUAUCAGUCAUAAUUUAUUUGAAAGUCCCUUACUACAUGGCUACCCGUAGUAAUUCUAGAGCUAAUACAUGCACAAAAGCUCAACUGCCUUCUGGCGGACGGGCUGCAUUGAUUAGACUGAAACCAAUGCGUCCUCGGACGGUUUUGUGGUGAAUCAUAAUCACUUGCUGAUCGCACGCUUCGGCGGCGACGUUUCAUUCAAGUUUCUGCCCUAUCAGCUUUGGAUGGUAGGGUAUUGGCCUACCAUGGCUUUAACGGGUAACGGGGAAUUGGGGUUCGAUUCCGGAGAGGGAGCCUGAGAGACGGCUACCACAUCC